This 478-nucleotide ribosomal RNA is filed under the name uncultured bacterium. RNAcentral describes it as "partial 16S ribosomal RNA". It matches the Rfam family "Bacterial small subunit ribosomal RNA", at positions 28 to 523 of the family's 1533-position model. The record is from RNAcentral.
GACGAACGCUGGCGGCGUGCUUAACACAUGCAAGUCGAACGGUAAGGCCCUUCGGGGUACACGAGUGGCGAACGGGUGAGUAACACGUGGGUGAUCUGCCCUGCACUUCGGGAUAAGCCUGGGAAACUGGGUCUAAUACCGGAUAGGACUCCGGACUGCAUGGUCUGGGGUGGAAAGCUUUUGCGGUGUGGGAUGGGCCCGCGGCCUAUCAGCUUGUUGGUGGGGUGAUGGCCUACCAAGGCGACGACGGGUAGCCGGCCUGAGAGGGUGACCGGCCAGACUGGGACUGAGAAACGGCCCAGACUCCUACGGGAGGCAGCAGUGGGGAAUAUUGCACAAUGGGCGCAAGCCUGAUGCAGCGACGCCGCGUGAGGGAUGACGGCCUUCGGGUUGUAAACCUCCUUCAGCAUCGACGAAGCGAAAGUGACGGUAGGUGCAGAAGAAGGACCGGCCAACUACGUGCCAGCAGCCGCCGUAA